GCUGGGCAUAGUGGUGUGUGCCUGUAGUCCCAGCUACUUGGGAGGCUGAAGUGGGAGGAUUGAUUGAGCCCAGGAGGUCGAGGCUGCAGUGAGCUAUGAUGGCACCACUGCACUCCAGCCUGAGCAACAGAGCAAGACCCUGUCUCAA
Molecule: non-coding RNA, 148 nt
Organism: Homo sapiens (human)
Lineage: Eukaryota; Metazoa; Chordata; Mammalia; Primates; Hominidae
Rfam family: Metazoan signal recognition particle RNA
About the family: The signal recognition particle (SRP) is a universally conserved ribonucleoprotein. It is involved in the co-translational targeting of proteins to membranes. The eukaryotic SRP consists of a 300-nucleotide 7S RNA and six proteins: SRPs 72, 68, 54, 19, 14, and 9.
Source: Rfam